RNAcentral lists this ribosomal RNA (846 nucleotides) under Boeremia exigua. RNAcentral describes it as "LSU rRNA". It matches the Rfam family "Eukaryotic large subunit ribosomal RNA", at positions 74 to 938 of the family's 3401-position model. The record is from RNAcentral. Lineage: Eukaryota; Fungi; Ascomycota; Dothideomycetes; Pleosporales; Didymellaceae.
AUUGCCCUAGUAACGGCGAGUGAAGCGGCAACAGCUCAAAUUUGAAAUCUGGCGUCUUUGGCGUCCGAGUUGUAAUUUGCAGAGGGCGCUUUGGCAUUGGCAGCGGUCCAAGUUCCUUGGAACAGGACGUCACAGAGGGUGAGAAUCCCGUACGUGGUCGCUAGCCUUUACCGUGUAAAGCCCCUUCGACGAGUCGAGUUGUUUGGGAAUGCAGCUCUAAAUGGGAGGUAAAUUUCUUCUAAAGCUAAAUACUGGCCAGAGACCGAUAGCGCACAAGUAGAGUGAUCGAAAGAUGAAAAGCACUUUGGAAAGAGAGUUAAAAAGCACGUGAAAUUGUUGAAAGGGAAGCGCUUGCAGCCAGACUUGCCUGUAGUUGCUCAUCCGGGUUUUUACCCGGUGCACUCUUCUAUAGGCAGGCCAGCAUCAGUUUGGGCGGUUGGAUAAAGGUCUCUGUCACGUACCUCCUCUCGGGGAGAACUUAUAGGGGAGACGUAAUGCAACCAGCCUGGACUGAGGUCCGCGCAUCUGCUAGGAUGCUGGCGUAAUGGCUGUAAGCGGCCCGUCUUGAAACACGGACCAAGGAGUCUAACAUCUAUGCGAGUGUUUGGGUGUCAAGCCCGAGCGCGUAAUGAAAGUGAACGGAGGUGGGAACCUUUCGGGGUGCACCAUCGACCGAUCCUGAUGUCUUCGGAUGGAUUUGAGUAAGAGCAUAGCUGUUGGGACCCGAAAGAUGGUGAACUAUGCUUGAAUAGGGUGAAGCCAGAGGAAACUCUGGUGGAGGCUCGCAGCGGUUCUGACGUGCAAAUCGAUCGUCAAAUUUGGGCAUAGGGGCGAAAGACUAAUCGA